GGCAGCAUAGCUCAGUUGGUUAGAGCGUAGGACUCAUAAGCCUAAGGUCACUGGUUCAAUUCCAGUUGCUGCUACCA
RNAcentral lists this transfer RNA (77 nucleotides) under Candida albicans SC5314. RNAcentral describes it as "Mixture of endogenous E-tRNA from Candida albicans SC5314 (PDB 7Q0P, chain 10)". It matches the Rfam family "tRNA". Rfam says of the family: Transfer RNA (tRNA) molecules are approximately 80 nucleotides in length. Their secondary structure includes four short double-helical elements and three loops (D, anti-codon, and T loops). Further hydrogen bonds mediate the characteristic L-shaped molecular structure. tRNAs have two regions of fundamental functional importance: the anti-codon, which is responsible for specific mRNA codon recognition, and the 3' end, to which the tRNAs corresponding amino acid is attached (by aminoacyl-tRNA synthetases). tRNAs cope with the degeneracy of the genetic code in two manners: having more than one tRNA (with a specific anti-codon) for a particular amino acid; and 'wobble' base-pairing, i.e. permitting non-standard base-pairing at the 3rd anti-codon position. The record is from RNAcentral. RNAcentral also lists the same sequence under 1 other name. Lineage: Eukaryota; Fungi; Ascomycota; Pichiomycetes; Serinales; Debaryomycetaceae.